Molecule: long non-coding RNA, 1118 nt
Organism: Sinocyclocheilus grahami
Lineage: Eukaryota; Metazoa; Chordata; Actinopteri; Cypriniformes; Cyprinidae
Exons: 2
Source: RefSeq, a predicted model, not a curated record
CUCCGUGACCAUUGGUUUUAGUUGCACUGUAACUACACGAGUUGAAAGAUUCAAUUAACUUUUCAGGUUGUAAUAUCAAAAAACACUGGUGCUUUGAGUAUAUAUCCAAUAUUUGAAAAUAUGUAAACAUGUUAUUAGAAUUUUUUUUAAUAUAUUUCAUUUUUACAGUAUCCUCCCUGAAAUAUAGUUUUUCUGCUCUUGAUUUUAAAAACCUUGUUUUUGAUUUUAAUUUGUUGAAAUCUUACUGAAUUCUUUACCAAACAAAUGUGUACCAAAGCACUGUCAAUUUUGCUGUGAAAAAACAAACUAAAUCUCACACCGCAAUUAACAUUGUCAAAUGCUACAAUCUUACAGUAGAGAACAAUCCUAUAACAGAUUGAACAAAUUAGAUAUUUAUUUAGGCACUUACAUGAACAAAAGUUACAUUACUACAGGUUAUCAUCACACUUUUUUAGGCGUUUAGUUAAAAGAAGUGGAUUUGUAAUAACCUGUGACCUUCGCCCUAAUUACACAUCGGGACUCAGUCGUGUAGUUUGGGACCAGUUGUUGAUGGGUGUAUUGUAAAACCUAAAAAAAAUUUUAAAAAAAGGCAAGUGUGACCCCUUACCUUAUUCAUUCUUGUCUGCAAUAGGUUACAUGUUCCUUUCCUUCACAUCUGCUGUCCAGUAGAUGCAGUCAUGUGAGAAUGUUGCGAUUGUAGUAAUAUGAAUCCUAUCAGACCAAAAAGAGACUGCACCUCCAGUUGUUUAUAGCUUAUUUUGUGGAUGUCACAGUUGUAUUAGCAAUUUAGUUUUUGAGAGCUGCUGUACAAUUUAAGUUAUGUUACCCAACAUAUAAUAUUGUGCAAGCUUAUACUGUUCAGAAGUUUAGCUGAAAAUGGAUUGCAAAUUACUUGCUCAUAAUGGUUUGUUAUUUGUUGUUUUAAAAAAUGGGAACCUGUAUUUAUGUCUGUUUGAUUUUCAGAUCUUUUUUUUUUAUAUAAAAAUUUUCAGUAGUAAAUAUUUACCAGAAGACAAAGAAAGUAAUAAGUUAUGGGCAAUACUGGGGGAAAAAAGUCAGAAUUAUUAUUGUUAUUAUUGCAAUGCUACACUUGGUGAAUAAACUUCACUUUUGACUUA